GUGGAUUAGAUACCCCGGUAGUCCACGCCCUAAACGAUGUCUACUAGUUGUCGGAGGGUAACUCCUUCGGUAACGCAGCUAACGCGUGAAGUAGACCGCCUGGGGAGUACGGUCGCAAGAUUAAAACUCAAAGGAAUUGACGGGGACCCGCACAAGCGGUGGAUGAUGUGGAUUAAUUCGAUGCAACGCGAAAAACCUUACCUACCCUUGACAUGCCACUAACGAAGCAGAGAUGCAUUAGGUGCCCGAAAGGGAAAGUGGACACAGGUGCUGCACGGCCGUCGCCAACU
This 290-nucleotide ribosomal RNA is filed under the name uncultured bacterium. Its description in RNAcentral is "partial 16S ribosomal RNA". It matches the Rfam family "Bacterial small subunit ribosomal RNA", at positions 773 to 1060 of the family's 1533-position model. The record is from RNAcentral.